This 93-nucleotide small nuclear RNA is filed under the name Suricata suricatta (meerkat). The record is from RNAcentral. Lineage: Eukaryota; Metazoa; Chordata; Mammalia; Carnivora; Herpestidae.
GUGCUCACUUUGGCAGCACACGGAAUGAUACAGAGAAGAUAGCAUGGCCCCCGGGCAAGGAUGACACACAAUUCAUGAGUGUUCCAUAUUAUA